GGGCGUGUAGCUCAGUUGGUAGAGCGUGUCAUUAGCAUUAUAAGGUGUUCUUGACAAGGUCUUUGGUUCGAUUCCUAACUCGUCCA
The sequence is a transfer RNA, 86 nucleotides long. It matches the Rfam family "tRNA". From Rfam's summary of the family: Transfer RNA (tRNA) molecules are approximately 80 nucleotides in length. The record is from Rfam.